UCUCCAGCUGAUGUCUUAGUGACCACCAGUCUUCCUGAGGUCAAAUGAACACAUCUCUCCAGCUGAUGUCUUAGUGACCACUAGUCUUCCUGAGGUCAAAUGAACACAUCUCUCCAGCUGAUGUCUUAGUGACCACUAGUCUUCCUGAGGUCAAAUGAACACAUCUCUCCAGCUGAUGUCUUAGUGACCACUAGUCUUCCUGAGGUCAAAUGAACACAUCUCUCCAGCUGAUGUCUUAGUGACCACUAGUCUUCCUGAGGUCAAAUGAACACAUCUCUCCAGCUGAUGUCUUAGUGACCACUAGUCUUCCUGAGGUCAAAUGUACACAUCUCUCCAGCUGAUGUCUUAGUGACCACCAGUCUUCCUGAGGUCAAAUGUACACAUCUCUCCAGCUGAUGUCUUAGUGACCACUAGUCUUCCUGAGGUCAAAUGAACACAUCUCUCCAGCUGAUGUCUUAGUGACCACUAGUCUUCCUGAGGUCAAAUGUACACAUCUCUCCAGCUGAUGUCUUAGUGACCACCAGUCUUCCUGAGGUCAAAUGUACACAUCUCUCCAGCUGAUGUCUUAGUGACCACUAGUCUUCCUGAGGUCAAAUGUACACAUCUCUCCAGCUGAUGUCUUAGUGACCACCAGUCUUCCUGAGGUCAAAUGUACACAUCUCUCCAGCUGAUGUCUUAGUGACCACUAGUCUUCCUGAGGUCAAAUGAACACAUCUCUCCAGCUGAUGUCUUAGUGACCACUAGUCUUCCUGAGGUCAAAUGAACACAUCUCUCCAGCUGAUGUCUUAGUGACCACUAGUCUUCCUGAGGUCAAAUGAACACAUCUCUCCAGCUGAUGUCUUAGUGACCACUAGUCUUCCUGAGGUCAAAUGAACACAUCUCUCCAGCUGAUGUCUUAGUGACCACUAGUCUUCCUGAGGUCAAAUGAACACAUCUCUCCAGCUGAUGUCUUAGUGACCACUAGUCUUCCUGAGGUCAAAUGUACACAUCUCUCCAGCUGAUGUCUUAGUGACCACUAGUCUUCCUGAGGUCAAAUGAACACAUCUCUCCAGCUGAUGUCUUAGUGACCACUAGUCUUCCUGAGGUCAAAUGUACACAUCUCUCCAGCUGAUGUCUUAGUGACCACUAGUCUUCCUGAGGUCAAAUGUACACAUCUCUCCAGCUGAUGUCUUAGUGACCACUAGUCUUCCUGAGGUCAAAUGUACACAUCUCUCCAGCUGAUGUCUUAGUGACCACUAGUCUUCCUGAGGUCAAAUGUACACAUCUCUCCAGCUGAUGUCUUAGUGACCACUAGUCUUCCUGAGGUCAAAUGUACACAUCUCUCCAGCUGAUGUCUUAGUGACCACUAGUCUUCCUGAGGUCAAAUGUACACAUCUCUCCAGCUGAUGUCUUAGUGACCACUAGUCUUCCUGAGGUCAAAUGUACACAUCUCUCCAGCUGAUGUCUUAGUGACCACUAGUCUUCCUGAGGUCAAAUGAACACAUCUCUCCAGCUGAUGUCUUAGUGACCACUAGUCUUCCUGAGGUCAAAUGUACACAUCUCUCCAGCUGAUGUCUUAGUGACCACUAGUCUUCCUGAGGUCAAAUGUACACAUCUCUCCAGCUGAUGUCUUAGUGACCACUAGUCUUCCUGAGGUCAAAUGAACACAUCUCUCCAGCUGAUGUCUUAGUGACCACCAGUCUUCCUGAGGUCAAAUGAACACAUCUCUCCAGCUGAUGUCUUAGUGACCACCAGUCUUCCUGAGGUCAAAUGAACACAUCUCUCCAGCUGAUGUCUUAGUGACCACUAGUCUUCCUGAGGUCAAAUGAACACAUCUCUCCAGCUGAUGUCUUAGUGACCACUAGUCUUCCUGAGGUCAAAUGAACACAUCUCUCCAGCUGAUGUCUUAGUGACCACUAGUCUUCCUGAGGUCAAAUGAACACAUCUCUCCAGCUGAUGUCUUAGUGACCACUAGUCUUCCUGAGGUCAAAUGAACACAUCUCUCCAGCUGAUGUCUUAGUGACCACUAGUCUU
Oncorhynchus keta (chum salmon) is the source of this 2013-nucleotide long non-coding RNA. RefSeq lists it as uncharacterized. The transcript is spliced from 5 exons. The record is from RefSeq and is a predicted model, not a curated record. NCBI's taxonomy places the organism in Eukaryota, Metazoa, Chordata, Actinopteri, Salmoniformes, Salmonidae.